This 484-nucleotide ribosomal RNA is filed under the name uncultured bacterium. Its description in RNAcentral is "partial 16S ribosomal RNA". It matches the Rfam family "Bacterial small subunit ribosomal RNA", at positions 29 to 523 of the family's 1533-position model. The record is from RNAcentral.
AGUGAACGCUGGCGGCGUGCUUAACACAUGCAAGUCGAACGAGAACGGGUUAUAGCUUGCUAUAAUUGUCAGCUAAGUGGCGCACGGGUGAGUAAUGUAUAGGUAAUAUGCCUCUUACUAAGGGAUAACAAAUGGAAACGUUUGCUAAUACCUUAUACUCCUUAUUAACAUAAGUUAAUAAGGGAAAGAUUUAUUGGUAAGAGAUUAGCCUGUAUUGUAUCAGUUAGUUGGUGGGGUAAUGGCUUACCAAGACUAUGACACAUAACUGGUUUGAGAGGAUGAUCAGUCACACUGGAACUGAGACACGGCCCAGACUCCUACGGGAGGCAGCAGUGGGGAAUAUUGCACAGUGGACGAAAGUCUGAUGCAGCAACGCCGCGUGGAGGAUGACACAUUUCGGUGCGUAAACUCCUUUUAUAUGAGAAGAUAAUGACGGUAUUAUAUGAAUAAGCACCGGCUAACUCCGUGCCAGCCGCCGCCGUAA